CCUUUGCUGCAUCUCCUCUUUUCCAGCGAUUUCCUUUACUGCAUCUCCUCUUUUCCAGCUAUGGUUUGCCCCCAUAUGUCGCUGUCCGGGUGCUCUGUGCCUUCCUUUCGUGCCACCUGAAGAAGUUCCUGAAGUGUUUAUUGUUCUCCUCGAUGAGGAUUGCUUCAGGCGGAUGGUGAGUUGUAUUAAUCAUUUCUUUAUAACUUUACUUAUUUUGUAGGUAUCAAUCUAUGUGUAUGUGUUUACUCAGCCACUGCAAUUCUUUUGUAUAAUCAUGGCUAAUAUGAAACUUGUGUAUUUUAUGGGUUGUUCCCCAUCCCAUGUGUAGGUUGUCUUUGUUUGCAGUUAUAUAAAUGGAACAAUAAUUUGUCUUUG
Molecule: long non-coding RNA, 375 nt
Organism: Triticum aestivum (bread wheat)
Lineage: Eukaryota; Viridiplantae; Streptophyta; Magnoliopsida; Poales; Poaceae
Exons: 3
Source: RefSeq, a predicted model, not a curated record